Molecule: long non-coding RNA, 265 nt
Filed under: Lactuca sativa (garden lettuce)
Lineage: Eukaryota; Viridiplantae; Streptophyta; Magnoliopsida; Asterales; Asteraceae
Description: long non-coding RNA (LSAT_LNC002107)
Source: RNAcentral
CAACUCAUAUCCUUAUCCCCUUCGGUCUGUUCGGCACUAAACCCUCCACAGUCCACAUCCUCCCUCUCCUCCUCAUACAUGUUCAUGUUCCUCUCCCUCUCCUCCCCGUUCCCCCUCUCGCCCUCCCUUUCUCUUCCUAGGCCCCGUAUCCACCCACCUCUCCGCCAUCACCUCUCACCUUUUCUCCGCCAUAUAACCACAACCAAUCUCACCCCUUUUGCCGUCGGACGCGAUGGCAAAUACUAUCCAAACCCAGCCGACGCUG